UUGAGCUAAGGAUGAUCUAAGUUAUCCCUGUCUGAAAUGACACUUCAGUGAAGAGUCACGGUUUACUGAGGCUCAA
Rattus norvegicus (Norway rat) is the source of this 76-nucleotide small nucleolar RNA. Ensembl annotates it as small nucleolar RNA R38. The record is from Ensembl. NCBI's taxonomy places the organism in Eukaryota, Metazoa, Chordata, Mammalia, Rodentia, Muridae.